UCCUCCGACAUGGAGGAUUUCAGGACAACGUGAGAUUUGGGUCGGGGCACAAAUCCAAACCAUAUCAUAAUGUAUAACUGAAAAACAUUCAGGAAACGCUGGAUUAAUUACUAUAUUAAUCCAUUCAAGACAUCCAACUCCAUGUCGAAGAGAGCUGUGUCCCAGAGCUCUUUCUUUAAACCUAAGUGAUUCGGCUCCAUUGACGAACAAGUACCUCGGAAUUCACAGGCAGCAGUUAGGAAACUUGGCUACUGAGGUUGAUGUGGAAGGAGGAGGCGGUCUUAUAUUGGCUGGGAACCUGCUACAGCGCCAGGAACUUCACAAGGGAGGUAAUACCAUUGCACCGGAGCAUGUAACCAAGGUGGAUUCAGCUGCACUGAAGAUCAGUUGUCCCAUCCCCGUGAAGUUGACUGUGCCCAAGGUAAGAAUACCUAGUGGAAUGUGGUCCUUGUUACCUGAGGAGCGAAGGUGCGUCUGUGCGGGCUGUCACUCCGUCUGUUUUGCAGCACCUCGCUCAAGUAAGUUACCCUGGAAUUAACACCUCCUAUAUUUUGAAAAAUCCUUGUGGUUGUCAUUCAAGUACUGCUAUAUGCUGG
Molecule: long non-coding RNA, 596 nt
Filed under: Rhinopithecus bieti (black snub-nosed monkey)
Lineage: Eukaryota; Metazoa; Chordata; Mammalia; Primates; Cercopithecidae
Description: lncRNA (ENSRBIG00000046405.1)
Source: RNAcentral